UACGUAGGGUCCGAGCGUUGUCCGGAAUUAUUGGGCGUAAAGGGCUCGUAGGCGGCGUGUCGCGUCGGGGAGUGAAAGCCCGCUGCUUAACGGCGGGUUGGCUUCCGGUACGGGCAUGCUGGAGUGUGGCAGGGGAGACUGGAAUUCCUGGUGUAGCGGUGGAAUGCGCAGAUAUCAGGAGGAACACCGGUGGCGAAGGCGGGUCUCUGGGCCAUUACUGACGCUGAGGAGCGAAAGCGUGGGGAGCGAACAGG
RNAcentral lists this ribosomal RNA (254 nucleotides) under uncultured bacterium. RNAcentral's name for it is "partial 16S ribosomal RNA". It matches the Rfam family "Bacterial small subunit ribosomal RNA", at positions 524 to 776 of the family's 1533-position model. The record is from RNAcentral.